RNAcentral lists this long non-coding RNA (529 nucleotides) under Phascolarctos cinereus (koala). RNAcentral describes it as "lncRNA (ENSPCIG00000030387.2)". The record is from RNAcentral. Lineage: Eukaryota; Metazoa; Chordata; Mammalia; Diprotodontia; Phascolarctidae.
UGAGUUCUAAUACUUGAGUCUGUAGAAAGUGAGUGUCUCUUUCUCCGUUCUGUAGGACAAUGGAUUCACCAGCACAGAAAGCUUAGCAGGUACAGCCUCUAGGAGGGUCACCCUUAGAAGUAAACUAUCUAAAACCUUCUAGAAAAUAAAGACCAAAUCCAAGAAAUAAUUCAACAGAUCCAGGGAAAAGCAUCCAGCCAAAGACAGUUUGAUGAAGGUAAAAAUGAAGCAUUCCAGAGAAGUCAGAAGCAACAGCCAGCAGGAAGAAAUACAGGAGGUAAAAUGGAGGAUGAAUUAGAAGCAAAUAGAAGAACAAAGCAAAAGAUGAAGAAAACUUCACAACAGUCAUCUACAAAACAAAGUAGGUGCGUGUCCUGGAAUUCAGAACAAGCUGCUGAAGUACUGGCAAGGGCAACUCCUGAGCAGUAAUUAAAAUAAUUGACAUAUUUAAAACACUUCUCAUGCAUUAUAUCACUUGAGCCUCACAGCCUCCCUACUGGAUGAGUCCCAUAGUUUUGUCAUCCCCAUU